CAGCCGCCGCGGGAAUACGUAGGGUGCGAGCGUUAAUCGGAAUUACUGGGCGUAAAGCGUGCGCAGGCGGUUAUAUAAGACAGAUGUGAAAUCCCCGGGCUCAACCUGGGACCUGCAUUUGUGACUGUAUAGCUAGAGUACGGUAGAGGGGGAUGGAAUUCCGCGUGUAGCAGUGAAAUGCGUAGAUAUGCGGAGGAACACCGAUGGCGAAGGCAAUCCCCUGGACCUGUACUGACGCUCAUGCACGAAAGCGUGGGGAGCAAACAGGAUUAGAGACCCCUGUAGUCCCUGUCUCUUAUAC
This 301-nucleotide ribosomal RNA is filed under the name uncultured bacterium. RNAcentral's name for it is "partial 16S ribosomal RNA". It matches the Rfam family "Bacterial small subunit ribosomal RNA", at positions 509 to 807 of the family's 1533-position model. The record is from RNAcentral.